CUGACAUCCUAAGGAACAUUAUCUUUUGAGGGCACAAUCUUUCACUUGCAUCCUCUAUGGUAAUGCAUCUGAAUCUGGAUCCAAGAUCUUAUCAAUACACCAGGGAUUCAGUCUAGGUUCUGAUGCUCACUUCACCAUCGUUGAGAUGAAGAAUAUUGCCAGAUGUGGAACCUGCAGAUGCAGGGGGC
Gorilla gorilla gorilla (western lowland gorilla) is the source of this 188-nucleotide long non-coding RNA. RefSeq lists it as uncharacterized. The record is from RefSeq and is a predicted model, not a curated record. NCBI's taxonomy places the organism in Eukaryota, Metazoa, Chordata, Mammalia, Primates, Hominidae. The transcript is spliced from 3 exons.